CAGUAGCCGCGGUAAUACGAAGGGUGCAAGCGUUAAUCGGAAUUACUGGGCGUAAAGCGUGCGUAGGCGGUUUGUUAAGUCUGUUGUGAAAUCCCCGGGCUCAACCUGGGAAUGGCAAUGGAUACUGGCAAGCUAGAGUGUGUCAGAGGAUGGUGGAAUUCCCGGUGUAGCGGUGAAAUGCGUAGAGAUCGGGAGGAACAUCAGUGGCGAAGGCGGCCAUCUGGGACAACACUGACGCUGAGGCACGAAAGCGUGGGGAGCAAACAGGAUUAGAUACCCCAGUAGUCCCUGUCUCUUAUAA
Molecule: ribosomal RNA, 301 nt
Filed under: uncultured bacterium
Lineage: Bacteria
Description: partial 16S ribosomal RNA
Rfam family: Bacterial small subunit ribosomal RNA
Source: RNAcentral